This 442-nucleotide ribosomal RNA is filed under the name uncultured bacterium. RNAcentral's name for it is "partial 16S ribosomal RNA". It matches the Rfam family "Bacterial small subunit ribosomal RNA", at positions 338 to 795 of the family's 1533-position model. The record is from RNAcentral.
CCUACGGGGCGCAGCAGUGGGGAAUAUUGGGCAAUGGGCGAAAGCCUGACCCAGCAACGCCGCGUGAAGGAAGAAGGCUUUCGGGUUGUAAACUUCUUUUGACAGGGAAGAGCAGAAGACGGUACCUGUCGAAUAAGCCACGGCUAACUACGUGCCAGCAGCCGCGGUAAUACGUAGGUGGCAAGCGUUGUCCGGAUUUACUGGGUGUAAAGGGCGUGUAGCCGGGCUGACAAGUCAGAUGUGAAAUCCGGGGGCUCAACCCCCGAACUGCAUUUGAAACUGUUGGUCUUGAGUAUCGGAGAGGCAGGCGGAAUUCCUAGUGUAGCGGUGAAAUGCGUAGAUAUUAGGAGGAACACCAGUGGCGAAGGGAGCCUGCUGGACGAAAACUGACGGUGAGGCGCGAAAGCGUGGGGAGCAAACAGGAUUAGAUACCCUUGUAGUC